This 73-nucleotide transfer RNA is filed under the name Ailuropoda melanoleuca (giant panda). It matches the Rfam family "tRNA". Rfam says of the family: Transfer RNA (tRNA) molecules are approximately 80 nucleotides in length. Their secondary structure includes four short double-helical elements and three loops (D, anti-codon, and T loops). The record is from Rfam by way of RNAcentral. Lineage: Eukaryota; Metazoa; Chordata; Mammalia; Carnivora; Ursidae.
ACCUGGCUGGCUCAGUUGGAAGAGCAUGAGACUCUUGGUCUUGGGGUCAUGAGUUCGAGCCCCAUGUUGGUUA